Molecule: ribosomal RNA, 311 nt
Filed under: Coenobita purpureus
Lineage: Eukaryota; Metazoa; Arthropoda; Malacostraca; Decapoda; Coenobitidae
Description: partial 16S ribosomal RNA
Rfam family: Bacterial large subunit ribosomal RNA
Source: RNAcentral
UCGCCUGUUUAACAAAAACAUGUCUUUGUGAAGAUCUACACAGUCUGGCCUGCCCACUGAACUAUUAAAGGGCCGCGGUAUCUCUGACCGUGCGAAGGUAGCAUAAUCAUUAGUCUUUUAAUUGGAGGCUCGUAUGAAAGGUCGAACGAGUGAUAAGCUGUCUUAACAAAAAAAAUUGAAAUUAACUUUAAAGUGAAAAGGCUUUAAUAUAUUAGAAAGACGAUAAGACCCUAUAAAUCUUUACACUAAACUUAGUAUUAGGCCAAUCUGUUUGUCCAAGGAAAAAUACUAAAAAAGUGUUUUGUUGGGGC